AGCGAACGCUGGCGGCAGGCUUAACACAUGCAAGUCGAGCGGGCAUCCUUGUGGUGUCAGCGGCAGACGGGUGAGUAACGCGUGGGAACGUGCCCUUCGGUUCGGAAUAACUCAGGGAAACUUGAGCUAAUACCGGAUACGUGCGAGAGCAGAAAGGUUUAUCUGCCGAAGGAUCGGCCCGCGCCUGAUUAGCUAGUUGGUGAGGUUACGGCUCACCAAGGCGACGAUCAGUAGCUGGUCUGAGAGGAUGAUCAGCCACACUGGGACUGAGACACGGCCCAGACUCCUACGGGAGGCAGCAGUGGGGAAUAUUGGACAAUGGGGGCAACCCUGAUCCAGCCAUGCCGCGUGAGUGAUGACGGCCUUAGGGUUGUAAAGCUCUUUUCUCCGGGACGAUAAUGACGGUACCGGAGGAAUAAGCCCCGGCUAACUUCGUG
This 437-nucleotide ribosomal RNA is filed under the name uncultured bacterium. RNAcentral's name for it is "partial 16S ribosomal RNA". It matches the Rfam family "Bacterial small subunit ribosomal RNA", at positions 29 to 507 of the family's 1533-position model. The record is from RNAcentral.